GACGAACGCUGACGGUGUGCUUUAGACAUGCAAGUCGAACGAGAAAGCCCUUCGGGUGAGUACAGUGGCGAACGGGUGAGUAACACGUGGGCAAUCUGCCCCUCGCAGGGGGACAACCGUGGGAAACCGCGGCUAAUACCCCGUAAGCUCGAAAGGCCGCAUGGUUUUUCGAGGAAAGUAGCUUCGGCCGAUCCGGCGAGGGAUGAGCCCGCGGUGCAUUAGCUAGUUGGUGGGGUAACGGCCCACCAAGGCGACGAUGCAUAGCUGGUCUGAGAGGAUGAUCAGCCACACUGGGACUGAGACACGGCCCAGACUCCUACGGGAGGCAGCAGUCGGGAAUCUUGCGCAAUGGGCGAAAGCCUGA
RNAcentral lists this ribosomal RNA (364 nucleotides) under uncultured bacterium. RNAcentral describes it as "bacterial SSU rRNA". It matches the Rfam family "Bacterial small subunit ribosomal RNA", at positions 28 to 386 of the family's 1533-position model. The record is from RNAcentral.